AGCAGCCGCGGUAAUUCCAGCUCCAAUAGCGUAUAUUAAAGUUGUUGCAGUUAAAAAGCUCGUAGUUGAAUUUCGGGGUUAGUAGGUUGGUCAUGCCUCUGGUAUGUACUGGUCUCACUGAUUCCUCCUUCCUGAUGAGCCGUAAUGCCAUUAAUUUGGUGCUGCGGGGAAUUUGGACUGUUACUUUGAAAAAAUUAGAGUGUUUAAAGCAAGCUAACGCUUGAAUACAUUAGCAUGGAAUAAUGAAAUAGGACGUUCGAUCCUAUUUUGUUGGUUUCUAGGAUUGACGUAAUGAUUAAUAGGGAUAGUUGGGGGCAUUAGUAUUCAAUUGUCAGAGGUGAAAUUCUUGGAUUUAUUGAAGACUAACUACUGCGAAAGCAUUUGCCAAGGAUGUUUUCAUUAAUCAAGAACGAAAGUUAGGGGAUCGAAGACGAUCAGAUACCGUCGUAGUCUUAACCAUAAACUAUGCCGACUAGGGAUCGGAUGAUGUUAAUUUUUUAAUGACUC
RNAcentral lists this ribosomal RNA (507 nucleotides) under uncultured Glomeromycotina. Its description in RNAcentral is "SSU rRNA". It matches the Rfam family "Eukaryotic small subunit ribosomal RNA", at positions 569 to 1077 of the family's 1831-position model. The record is from RNAcentral. Lineage: Eukaryota; Fungi; Glomeromycota.